This 636-nucleotide unclassified non-coding RNA is filed under the name Hevea brasiliensis (rubber tree). Lineage: Eukaryota; Viridiplantae; Streptophyta; Magnoliopsida; Malpighiales; Euphorbiaceae. The record is from RNAcentral.
AGUCAAAAAAGAUAUGUAAAGCUAAAAAUAGUGAUGAACAUAUGAAAUUUUCAAUUGACUUCAUGCUUUCCCCAAAACCGUAUAUUUAAGUUAAUUUGUUUCUUAUAUUGCAUUCUACAUCAUGAAGUACAUUUGUAAUAAAACUAGCAAAAGAAGACAAAAGAGUGUACCUAUUACAACAAAAGGCAAAUGGAAUGCACACACACAAAGAACUAAUGAAUGGACUUGCAUGGUCCAAAAAUGUUUUAAAAAUGAAAAAUACCAGCAACAUAUCUCUAGAAGUUAUCAGAGAACUAAUAGUGCUGUUUUAACUAUGAACAAGCAUAAAACCACAACUUUCAUAAAAUAAUAUAUGGCUUGAUUGUUUUGCAUUUAGUGGCUGUGAUACACACUAAGUGCUGUUACAUUAUAUUUUGUCUCUUGAUAUUUUGUUCUAUUCAACAGAUGUCUUCUGCUGUAAUAUUUAUGACUUGUCAGUGUAAAUUUAUCUUGUGGAGGAGCUUAGUUUAAGCCAGAAAGAUGAAGACAAACUUCCUUAAUUUACAGAAGUAAGUAUUGAUUAUGCACUGGAUGUAUUUUUGUUUAUAAGGCUAAUGAGAAGCAGAACAAAGUGUUCCCUUUUCAGUUUUUUUUUUU